GAACGCCGUGUGAUGGGAAACUAUCACGCACGGUGUGGAGCGGGGGAAAAGCCCGAGGUGAUAACACCAGAGGCUUACCUAUCGCUAU
Molecule: non-coding RNA, 88 nt
Organism: Butyrivibrio fibrisolvens 16/4
Lineage: Bacteria; Bacillati; Bacillota; Clostridia; Lachnospirales; Lachnospiraceae
Source: Rfam